Erinaceus europaeus (western European hedgehog) is the source of this 311-nucleotide unclassified non-coding RNA. Its record names the gene 7SK. It matches the Rfam family "7SK RNA". From Rfam's summary of the family: 7SK was discovered as an abundant small nuclear RNA in the mid-70s but a possible function has only recently been suggested. Two independent studies have found that 7SK RNA binds the CDK9/cyclin T complex (known as elongation factor P-TEFb). The record is from Ensembl. Lineage: Eukaryota; Metazoa; Chordata; Mammalia; Eulipotyphla; Erinaceidae.
GGAUGUGAGGGCGAUCUGGCUGCGACAUCUGUCACCCCAUUGAUCGCCAGGGUUGAUUCGGCUGAUCUGGCUGGCUAAGCGGGUGUCCCCUUCCUCCCUCACUGCUCCAUGUGCGUCCCUCCCAAAGCUGCGAGCUAGGUCGAAGAGGACGGCCUUCCCCGAAUAGAGACUAGAGACGGAUGGUCUUCAGUCGAGGGUAUAUGAGUAGCUGUGCUCCCCUGCUAGAAUCUCCAGACAAGCUCUCAAGAAACCAAAGAAAGAGGAAAUACAUCAUAACUUAAAAAUAUUUUACUUUAGGGGAUCGGACAGUA